RNAcentral lists this ribosomal RNA (318 nucleotides) under Triticum aestivum (bread wheat). RNAcentral's name for it is "partial small subunit ribosomal RNA". Lineage: Eukaryota; Viridiplantae; Streptophyta; Magnoliopsida; Poales; Poaceae. The record is from RNAcentral.
AAGAAAAGUGUUGAGUCCAGGCGCAUUAUGGUACGAUUGAGACUGAGUUGGGCAGGAGCAAGCGGUUGGAUUGGCCUGACUCUUCAAGACCAAAGAUACUCGGCUUCCUCUCGUGGUAGGAAAAAAAUGCAGUUUUUUUUUCAUUUCCGAGAGGCACAGCCGUGCAUCUCGCGAAAGCAAACACGUGCCUUUUGUGGAAACUAUAAAUAUAAUAAUGCAUUGUCCCCUCCGGCAGCCGUGCAUCCUGUAAACGAGGCCUGGCUCGUAAAAUUUCCACACGCAGGCUGUAAACCGACCGUGUUUCCGAUAUAUAUGUGA